RNAcentral lists this small RNA (1022 nucleotides) under Histoplasma capsulatum var. duboisii H88. RNAcentral describes it as "Histoplasma capsulatum H88 hypothetical RNA". The record is from RNAcentral. Lineage: Eukaryota; Fungi; Ascomycota; Eurotiomycetes; Onygenales; Ajellomycetaceae.
CAGGCGAUGGUUGGGCGCAAGUUGCGUCGAGGAAACGGCCGACGGCAGCGCCGCCAGAGUCUGCGCUUGUGUUUGGAGAGGUUGGGGGUGGCGACAAGGGGCGGACGUUGGUGUUGAGGAGUGGGGUUGGGCUUGGAGGGAAGGUGAAGGGGAAAGCAGGUGUGGCUGGUUCUGGAAGUGAAAGUAGGAGUGAGGGUGGUUGGAAGCCGUUUCCUGCAGGGUUUGCGGAGGAUGUUGUUGACGAUUGGGAAGAGGAGGUUGAGAAGGAGGAGAAGGGCCAACUCGGUGUAUCCGAGAAUGGUGCCAUUGGAGGUUGAGGAUGCGGGAUCGAAUGAAAAUUGGGAUUGUAAAUUGAGGGUGCGAGUGGAAGUGUGAACGAGGACUGACCGGUGAUGGGUGUUGGCACAAUGAAUGUUGGAAACAGGGAGCUGAUUUGAUUGAUUAGGUAGGAGAAAGCGUCUCUCCUAGGCCUUCUUAUCAAUCCAUCCCCUGUUAGCACCUCUGUGCUAAUACAUACCGAGUUUGUGCAUCGUGCUAGACGAUAAUGCGAUACGCUUACACUUGUACCGUACAUCUUCAGAAGCUAUCACUCUCACACACACAUGUAUGUAUACGCAGUAUAUAUAUAAGCGAAAAAACUACUUGUGGAAUUCAUAGUAUACAUGAACAUUUGGCCUCUUGAUCAACAGAUCUACAUAACAAAACACCCCUUUUCAUUAGCUCUUUGAAUCUGGUUCCUAAAUCUGGUCGUCUGAGAGCCAGCAACGUAUUUGAAGUCCCGAAACUGAAAUAAAUAAAAAAAAAAUUGGAAAACAUUGCACAAUAAGUAAAUAAAUAAAUAAAUUAUUAGAAGCAAAAAGAUGUGUGAAAAUGUGCGCAAACUGAAGGGGGAAUCGUGAGACUUGAACAGAAUGCGGAGAUAUAAAUUGAGAUGACGACGAUGAUGCUGAGACGAGAUGAGAUGAGAUGAGAUGAGAGACAGAGGCAUAAAUCCAACACAAUAGACCAAAAGAAAAGUAGGA